RNAcentral lists this ribosomal RNA (253 nucleotides) under uncultured bacterium. RNAcentral's name for it is "partial 16S ribosomal RNA". It matches the Rfam family "Bacterial small subunit ribosomal RNA", at positions 524 to 776 of the family's 1533-position model. The record is from RNAcentral.
UACAGAGGUCUCAAGCGUUGUUCGGAUUCAUUGGGUGUAAAGGGUGCGUAGGCGGCGCGGUAAGUCGGGUGUGAAAUCUCGGAGCUUAACUCCGAAACUGCAUUCGAUACUGCCGGGCUUGAGGCAGGUAGGGGAGAUCGGAAUUCCUGGUGUAGCGGUGAAAUGCGCAGAUAUCAGGAAGAACACCCGUGGCGAAGGCGGCUCUCUGGGACGGUACUGACGCUGAGACGCGAAAGCGUGGGGAGCGAACAGG